This 504-nucleotide ribosomal RNA is filed under the name uncultured organism. RNAcentral describes it as "bacterial SSU rRNA". It matches the Rfam family "Bacterial small subunit ribosomal RNA", at positions 28 to 507 of the family's 1533-position model. The record is from RNAcentral.
GACGAACGCUGGCGGCGUGCCUAACACAUGCAAGUCGAACGGAGAAUUUUAUUUCGGUAGAAUUCUUAGUGGCGAACGGGUGAGUAACGCGUAGGCAACCUGCCCUUUAGACGGGGACAACAUUCCGAAAGGAGUGCUAAUACCGGAUGUGAUCAUCUUGCCGCAUGGCAGGAUGAAGAAAGAUGGCCUCUACAAGUAAGCUAUCGCUAAAGGAUGGGCCUGCGUCUGAUUAGCUAGUUGGUAGUGUAACGGACUACCAAGGCGAUGAUCAGUAGCCGGUCUGAGAGGAUGAACGGCCACAUUGGGACUGAGACACGGCCCAAACUCCUACGGGAGGCAGCAGUGGGGAAUCUUCCGCAAUGGACGAAAGUCUGACGGAGCAACGCCGCGUGAGUGAUGAAGGAUUUCGGUCUGUAAAGCUCUGUUGUUUAUGACGAACGUGCAGUGUGUGAACAAUGCAUUGCAAUGACGGUAGUAAACGAGGAAGCCACGGCUAACUACGUG